This 64-nucleotide ribosomal RNA is filed under the name uncultured bacterium. RNAcentral describes it as "partial 16S ribosomal RNA". The record is from RNAcentral.
UGGACUUGACAUCCUAUUAAUAUGUUAGAGAUAAGAUAGUGCUAGUUUACUAGAAAAUAGUGAC